Molecule: ribosomal RNA, 411 nt
Filed under: Escherichia coli
Lineage: Bacteria; Pseudomonadati; Pseudomonadota; Gammaproteobacteria; Enterobacterales; Enterobacteriaceae
Also listed under: 1 other name
Description: partial 23S ribosomal RNA
Rfam family: Bacterial large subunit ribosomal RNA
Source: RNAcentral
CAAUCAAACCGGGAGAUAGCUGGUUCUCCCCGAAAGCUAUUUAGGUAGCGCCUCGUGAAUUCAUCUCCGGGGGUAGAGCACUGUUUCGGCAAGGGGGUCAUCCCGACUUACCAACCCGAUGCAAACUGCGAAUACCGGAGAAUGUUAUCACGGGAGACACACGGCGGGUGCUAACGUCCGUCGUGAAGAGGGAAACAACCCAGACCGCCAGCUAAGGUCCCAAAGUCAUGGUUAAGUGGGAAACGAUGUGGGAAGGCCCAGACAGCCAGGAUGUUGGCUUAGAAGCAGCCAUCAUUUAAAGAAAGCGUAAUAGCUCACUGGUCGAGUCGGCCUGCGCGGAAGAUGUAACGGGGCUAAACCAUGCACCGAAGCUGCGGCAGCGACACUGUGUGUUGUUGGGUAGGGGAGCGU